UUCGUAGGGGGUUUGUCAAGUCUGAUGUGAAAUCCCGCGGCUCAACCGCGGACGUGCAUUGGAUACUGCCGAACUAGAGUUCUUGAUGGGAAAGCGGAAUUCCAGGUGUAGCGGUGGAAUGCGUAGAUAUCUGGAAGAACACCAGCGGCGAAGGCGGCUUUCUGGCAAGAGACUGACCCUGAUGGACGAAAGCGUGGGUAGCGAACA
This 207-nucleotide ribosomal RNA is filed under the name uncultured bacterium. Its description in RNAcentral is "partial 16S ribosomal RNA". It matches the Rfam family "Bacterial small subunit ribosomal RNA", at positions 568 to 774 of the family's 1533-position model. The record is from RNAcentral.